Molecule: ribosomal RNA, 328 nt
Filed under: uncultured Streptococcus sp.
Lineage: Bacteria; Bacillati; Bacillota; Bacilli; Lactobacillales; Streptococcaceae
Description: bacterial SSU rRNA
Rfam family: Bacterial small subunit ribosomal RNA
Source: RNAcentral
UCGUCAGCUCGUGUCGUGAGAUGUUGGGUUAAGUCCCGCAACGAGCGCAACCCUUGUCAUUAGUUGCCAUCAUUGGUUGGGCACUCUAAUGAGACUGCCGGUGACAAACCGGGAGGAAGUGGGGAUGACGUCAAAUCAUCAUGCCCCUUAUGACCUGGGCUACACACGUGCUACAAUGGUUGGUACAACGAGUUGCGAGUCGGUGACGGCGAGCUAAUCUCUUAAAGCCAAUCUCAGUUCGGAUUGUAGGCUGCAACUCGCCUACAUGAAGUCGGAAUCGCUAGUAAUCGCGGAUCAGCACGCCGCGGUGAAUACGUUCCCGGGCCUU